AACGAACGCUGGCGGCGUGCCUAACACAUGCAAGUCGUGCGAGAAAGUUCCUUCGGGAGCGAGUAAAGCGGCGCACGGGUGAGUAACACGUAGGUAACCUGCCCCCCAGUCUGGAACAACUAGAGGAAACUCUAGCUAAUGCCGGAUGAGAUCACGAUCCCUUCGGGGGUUGCGGCCAAAGAUGGCCUCUACUUGUAAGCUAUCGCUGAGGGAUGGGCCUGCGGGCCAUUAGCUUGUUGGUGAGGUAACGGCUCACCAAGGCUGUGAUGGCUAGCUGGUCUGAGAGGAUGACCAGCCACACUGGGACUGAGACACGGCCCAGACUCCUACGGGAGGCAGCAGUGGGGGAAUAUUGGUCAAUGGGCGAAAGCCUGAACCAGCAAUGCCGCGUGAGUGAUGAAGGCCUUCGGGUUGUAAAGCUCUGUCAGUGGGAACGGAAUAAGCCGAUAAUACUCGGUGAUGACGGUACCA
RNAcentral lists this ribosomal RNA (471 nucleotides) under uncultured bacterium. RNAcentral's name for it is "bacterial SSU rRNA". It matches the Rfam family "Bacterial small subunit ribosomal RNA", at positions 29 to 480 of the family's 1533-position model. The record is from RNAcentral.